CAGCCACCUGGAGGUGGGAGAAUGGAAGCUCCUUGACCCAGGCCCUGCAGGACUCUGGGACCUGCAGGGGAUGGGGCACAGCCCCCACCUCCCACCCAACCCUCACUCACGGCUGGGUGGUCCUUGCCCAGUGUUUUCUCCCGGAUGGCCAGAGCAUCAUUGAGUAGCUGGGCCACGGCCUGCUCACUGCGCUGCAGCUUCUGCUGCGUCCCCGCCAGCUCCUCACGCAGCCACUGGUUCUCCUGCACCAGGCGCCGCACCUGCGCCCGCAGCUUCUGCUUCUCUGAUUCUACAGCCCCCAGGUGGCUCGACAGUGCCAAGAUCACCUGUGCAACCAGCCCAGGUGCGGUGGCUCACGCCUGUAAUCCUAGCACUUCAGGAGGCUGAGGUGGG
Molecule: long non-coding RNA, 393 nt
Organism: Rhinopithecus roxellana (golden snub-nosed monkey)
Lineage: Eukaryota; Metazoa; Chordata; Mammalia; Primates; Cercopithecidae
Exons: 3
Source: RefSeq, a predicted model, not a curated record